This is an RNA transcript of Vicia villosa (hairy vetch), 959 nucleotides long. It is a transcript of the gene named pyridoxine/pyridoxamine 5'-phosphate oxidase 2, with no coding region annotated. Lineage: Eukaryota; Viridiplantae; Streptophyta; Magnoliopsida; Fabales; Fabaceae. The record is from RefSeq and is a predicted model, not a curated record. The transcript has 8 exons.
AAAAGUGUGGAAUUUGUGAGAAGAAAAAAAAAUCUAAAGGCAUAGCAAAAAUUGGGAAUGGGGAGCAUCAUAGCAUGGAAGCAGCUUCUUCUCAAUGCUCUAGAAUCCAACACUCAUCUCAAACACUCUUCUUACAUGCAACUCGCAACCAUAGGAACCAACGGAAAACCUUCGAACCGCACUGUCGUUUUCAGAGGUUUCCAAGACAGCACCGACAACAUCCUUAUUAACACCGACACCCGAACUCGCAAGAUUGAGGAGCUGAAGAUUUGUUCUUCUGCUGAGAUAUGUUGGUAUUUCACGGAUUCGUGGGAGCAGUUUCGGAUAAAUGGGCGUGUAGAUGUUAUCGACGGGACGAAUCCUGAUCCGCUUAAACUUCAGCAAAGAGAGAAAUCCUGGUUUGCGGGUUCUGUGAGAUCAAGGGCGCAAUAUUUGUGGCCUAACCCGGGGCUUCCGUGUCUAAAUGAACAAGCACAAACUGAAAUAUUGUUGGAUCCUUCUAUAGGUCCGGUUGAUGCUUUUUGUCUUCUGAUUCUAGAACCAGAUGAGGUUGAUUACUUGAAUCUAAAGAGUAACCAGAGGCUAACAUUCAGAUCAAGUUUGAGUGCGGAAGCAAAGAAAAAUUGGAGUGUCGAGAGGGUCAACCCGUGAUUUCUUAUCUGUCAUAUGUAGAUUUCUUUGCAAUCAACUAAUUGCAUGUUCUAGAGUAUCGGUGAGAGAGAAUUGGCUGAAUGUGCUGGUUCUAUUCUAUUUGUCAGCUUUCAUGAUUCCUCUAGCGUGAAUUUGUGAUGAUAAGGUGUUGGGAUGUGAUUAUUCAACAUCAACACAAUGGUAGGGAAGGUUUCAACAUACCCUUUUUCUCCCAAUCCUAUCUGUUUUUACUCUUCUUUCUUGUCAACAUUUUCUCUUACAAAUCAUACCAUUGACUCAGAAUAGAGGACACACAUGCUUCUGUCAAA